GAUGAACGCUGGCGGCGUGCUUAACACAUGCAAGUCGAACGAUGAUGGGAGCUUGCUCCUGGAUUAGUGGCGAACGGGUGAGUAACACGUGAGUAACCUGCCCUUAACUCUGGGAUAAGCCUGGGAAACUGGGUCUAAUACCGGAUAUGACUCCUCAUCGCAUGGUGGGGGGUGGAAAGCUUUUUGUGGUUUUGGAUGGACUCGCGGCCUAUCAGCUUGUUGGUGAGGUAAUGGCUUACCAAGGCGACGACGGGUAGCCGGCCUGAGAGGGUGACCGGCCACACUGGGACUGAGACACGGCCCAGACUCCUACGGGAGGCAGCAGUGGGGAAUAUUGCACAAUGGGCGCAAGCCUGAUGCAGCGACGCCGCGUGAGGGAUGACGGCCUUCGGGUUGUAAACCUCUUUCAGUAGGGAAGAAGCGAAAGUGACGGUACCUGCAGAAGAAGCGCCGGCUAACUACGUGCCAGCAGCCGCGGUAAUACGUAGGGCGCAAGCGUUAUCCGGAAUUAUUGGGCGUAAAGAGCUCGUAGGCGGUUUGUCGCGUCUGCCGUGAAAGUCCGGGGCUCAACUCCGGAUCUGCGGUGGGUACGGGCAGACUAGAGUGAUGUAGGGGAGACUGGAAUUCCUGGUGUAGCGGUGAAAUGCGCAGAUAUCAGGAGGAACACCGAUGGCGAAGGCAGGUCUCUGGGCAUUAACUGACGCUGAGGAGCGAAAGCAUGGGGAGCGAACAGGAUUAGAUACCCUGGUAGUCCAUGCCGUAAACGUUGGGCACUAGGUGUGGGGGACAUUCCACGUUUUCCGCGCCGUAGCUAACGCAUUAAGUGCCCCG
This 831-nucleotide ribosomal RNA is filed under the name Arthrobacter humicola. Its description in RNAcentral is "bacterial SSU rRNA". It matches the Rfam family "Bacterial small subunit ribosomal RNA", at positions 28 to 871 of the family's 1533-position model. Lineage: Bacteria; Bacillati; Actinomycetota; Actinomycetes; Micrococcales; Micrococcaceae. The record is from RNAcentral.